CAGACCGCCGAACGGACAGAGUUUCUCCUAUACGUCCUAAGCGUCGCAAUCAAUACAAUACAAGGGUUCUAACCAGGAACAGUAUUCAAUGUACAGAUUGCAUAAGGAAGUAUCAAAAACAUAAACAGCUAACUAUUACAAGCAUUCACAUACAUGCUUUUACAUUUCAAUUACAUAUUACAUUCAACUUCCAAAUUACAAUCUAGUUAUUACAAAUUUAUUACAAGUUU
This 230-nucleotide long non-coding RNA is filed under the name Ananas comosus (pineapple). Its description in RNAcentral is "long non-coding RNA (ACOM_LNC019835)". Lineage: Eukaryota; Viridiplantae; Streptophyta; Magnoliopsida; Poales; Bromeliaceae. The record is from RNAcentral.